This 494-nucleotide long non-coding RNA is filed under the name Physcomitrium patens. RNAcentral describes it as "long non-coding RNA (PPAT_LNC010034)". Lineage: Eukaryota; Viridiplantae; Streptophyta; Bryopsida; Funariales; Funariaceae. The record is from RNAcentral.
GGGAGAUUCAAAAAGCUUAAGUUUUGGGCUAUAAUUUUGGUAUAUAUAGUUUGUUAUUUGAGUUUUGUAUGAAGAAGUUAAGGCUGUUUGAAGUUAAGGUUGUUUGAAGUUAAGGUGUGAAUUGUUUACUGAUUAUCACUCUUUUAAGCGUAUAGAAAGUUAUAGAAGGUUUUCUAGAAAAUAAAAGGUGUCGUUGAAAAGCUAGUUUGAAGAAAUACAAUUUUUGUAUAAGGGUUAUUAACUUUGAGUUUGUAAUAAGAGAGUUAUGGCUAUUUAAAGUCUAGAUGUGAAAAUUUUACCUACUAUCACUCUUUCAAGCAUACAAAGAGUUAUAGAAAGGCAUUUAGUAAUCGAAAGGUGGAAUUGGAAAGUUGACUUGAAGAACUUUAAUUAUUAUAUAAGAUUUGAUAAAAUCAUAUCUGAAGUGAGGAAGAAACGGCUGGUCGAAGUCAGAGCUUACAAAUUAAGGUAGUAAGUGAAUUGAAUUAUUGAUG